RNAcentral lists this unclassified non-coding RNA (2470 nucleotides) under Melitaea cinxia (Glanville fritillary). RNAcentral describes it as "misc RNA ENSMCXG00005014450.1". Lineage: Eukaryota; Metazoa; Arthropoda; Insecta; Lepidoptera; Nymphalidae. The record is from RNAcentral.
GGCUAUAAAUUAGUUCUGGUUGAGGAACAAAGGAAGGAGCCAAAUUAUCCAAAAAAUGAUCAGACAUAGUAGACGGUAGACUGGGGGAUGAAUUCUUGAAAGCUGAUCUGAAACGUUUAAUAUUUUGCCAAACAAAAGAUGGUUUAACUUCAGCCCAGGAACACUCACUAUCCCACCAGGGAGGCAAUGGAAUAUUAUUUGAGGAAGGCUUCUUUGAUGGAAAAACUUCGUCAGCAGUCUCAAUAAUAGCAUGUGCAAAAGCUUCAGAACUCCGAUACACAUCACCUUGGCUUAAGAUAGAAAGAGUUAAGAUCUUAUUAUCUAGGGUAGCUUUGUAUAAAUCCCAGUCUGCGCUAGCCAACUGAUAUUUAAUUCGGAAAGAGGUUUUAGUUUUAUUGAAAUUUUUAAAAGGUAAAUUUAUUAAAAUGGGGAAGUGAUCACUACCAUAAGUGGAGUUUAAGGUUUGCCAAAUCAAUGAUGAGGCUAAACUGGGUGAAGAAAUGGGAAGGUCAGGAGCACUUUUACCUUCAUUAAUAUUGGUUCUUCGUGUAGGAGUGCAAUUAUUUAAAAUACAAAGAUUAAGUGAAUCUACAAUGUCCAACACUUCAUGUCCAUAGUUAUUAUUAUUUGAACUACCCCAUGACUGGUGUUGAGCAUUAAAGUCACCUAAAACAAGUAUAGGUUUGGGAAGAGAUACUAAAAUAUUUUUAACUUCUCUUAAAAUUUGAGAAGAAGGAUGAGGAAUAUAUAUAGAGACAAAGCAAAUGUUAUUUACAAUGAUAGCAAUGAUUGAGAAAUUUUUAUCAUGAGAAGUAAUAUUUACAAGAGAAAAAGAAAGGGGAUGUUUUACUAAUAUUGCAACACCACCAUAGCCAUCAGAUCUAUCUUCUCUAAUACAAGAAUAUCCUUGAAUUUUAAAAAUGGAUUUAGGUUUUAGCCAAGUUUCUUGAAGACAUACUAUGGUGGGAUGAUACUUAUUAAUAAUAUGGAUAAGAUCACUUUUCUUACUAUUUAUACUACGACAAUUCCACUGAAUUGCCUUGGCGUAACUGUCCAUUAUGACUAAUAUAAUUAUUUAUAAUUUCCAUUAUUGGUUGGGCUACGUUGGACGGUUGAUUUUGAUUUAAAAUAUUUAAUAAAGUAAUUAUAAGUUCGACAAUAGAUUGUUUAGAUGAAUCAUUUGUUUCAUUGUUAAAUGCACAACCAUUUUUAGGGGUAGGCAAAUCAAAUUCAUUUAUGAUAGCAUUAUGAGCCUUGACAUCAUAUCCUUUGUUUGAUGUUAAAUGUUGACGAAGUUUUAAAAAUACAGUUUUCUUAUAGGAAACAUUUUGAAAAUCUUUAUUAUUAUUUAUAUGAGUUUUGUUGAUGACAGAGGUUGAAGGAGUGUUUGGAGAAGUUGCUACAACAUCAGAAUAUGAUUUGGUUAUUGUAGGGAAGAUUUUGGAUGCCUCUGCAUAAGAAAUACUAUUUUUAGCCAUAUGUUCUUUGAUAUUUUUUUGCCUUAAAAAUUCUUUACAUAUUUUAUUUGUUGUAUAGUGGGAGCAAUGACAAAUACAGCAAAAUGCCUCAUCUUCUGAUGUACAGCUGCUUCCAAAAUGACCGUCCUUGCCACAUUUAAAGCAGCGAGGAGUUGAUCUACACAUAUCUUUGACAUGUCCAUAUUGACAACAUUUAAAACACGAAGGACAGGACAACUAUUUCCGUAUCAAUAAAACUGGCUUAAUUGUCAAUAAAUGUUUUCUUUUUUAGUCGCCUUGCUCUUAAAACACUAAAAACAUUAAAUGAUGGAAUAAAAGCUUUGAAUCUGUUACUCGAAAGCUUAGUAACGCUGGUAAAGUUAUUAGCAUCUGAAAAAUUUGUAUAUGUAAGAGAGAGCCUAUUUCUGCCAAUUCUCUUCAAACUUCCAUUUAGAAUAUUUUUAAAUGAUUUAUUUUUAUCAAAUCGACCAAAAGAGACAGGGUGAGGCAGCGCGUGUGAAAUUUUCAUCUGGAGACAAUUGUUGUUUUUGUAUAUGGACAACAUAUGGUCCAAUAUCUGAGGCUUGGUAAAGGCGAGUUGUAGGAGUUGGGACUUUAGUAUCAGACAUAUCACCUUGACCACUAGUGGUCAUUGCGAUAGGUAUGGAAAGACCACAAUUAUUUUCAUCAUUUACACAAGAACAGUCGCUCUCUUUAAUUAUCUUGCCAUGACGCUUUCUUUUUUUAUUACAGUGUUUACAAAUUCUUAGAGCAUUUGUACGCUUUCUCGGUAGUGUCGCAUUAUUUACAGAACUAACAUCCGUAUCCAUAGAUGAUUCGCAAUGCUCAAUAGUUACAUAAUGCGAUACCUGCGGGACUGUGCCCCCAGGAUCGGGAGGUUCGUCUCCCAUGGAAAAAACAAAAUAAUGGAAUUAAAACCUUACCCUACGAAGAAAUAUUUACACUAAUUACAAAAUAUAAACUAAAAAGAACUAAAAUAACAAAUAUUUACA